AUUGAACGCUGGCGGCAGGCCUAACACAUGCAAGUCGGGCGAGCGUCGGUCGGGUUUGUAAUGUAUUGGGAUCUGCCUGAUGGAUGGUGAUAACUACUGGAAACGUUCGCUCAUUCCGCCUACCAUCCGAUGUACCCAUAUGGGAUUAGCUUGUAGGUGGGGUAACGGCUCACCUAGGCGACGAUCCCUAGCUGGUCUGAGAGGAUGACCAGACAAACGGGGACUGAGAAACGGACAAGACUCGUACGGGAGGCAGCAGUUGGGAAUAUUGCACAAGGGGCGAAAGCCUGAUGGAGCCAUGCCGCGUGUAUGAAGAAGGACUUCGGGUAGCAGAAUACUUGCAGUCGUGAGGGGUUACAGACAGAAGAAGAACCGGCUAACUCCGUGCCAGCAGCCGCGGUAAUAC
Molecule: ribosomal RNA, 406 nt
Filed under: uncultured bacterium
Lineage: Bacteria
Description: partial 16S ribosomal RNA
Rfam family: Bacterial small subunit ribosomal RNA
Source: RNAcentral